RNAcentral lists this transfer RNA (76 nucleotides) under Mogibacterium sp. RNAcentral's name for it is "tRNA-Val". It matches the Rfam family "tRNA". From Rfam's summary of the family: Transfer RNA (tRNA) molecules are approximately 80 nucleotides in length. Their secondary structure includes four short double-helical elements and three loops (D, anti-codon, and T loops). Lineage: Bacteria; Bacillati; Bacillota; Clostridia; Peptostreptococcales; Anaerovoracaceae. The record is from RNAcentral. RNAcentral also lists the same sequence under 1 other name.
GGUCUGUUAGCUCAGCUGGGAGAGCGCAUGGGUCACAACCAUGAUGUCGUGGGUUCGAGCCCCACAUAGACCACCA